This 503-nucleotide ribosomal RNA is filed under the name uncultured bacterium. Its description in RNAcentral is "partial 16S ribosomal RNA". It matches the Rfam family "Bacterial small subunit ribosomal RNA", at positions 30 to 523 of the family's 1533-position model. The record is from RNAcentral.
AUUGAACGCUGGCGGCAGGCUUAACACAUGCAAGUCGAGCGGGGUGAUGGUGCUUGCACUAUCACUUAGCGGCGGACGGGUGAGUAAUGCUUAGGAAUCUGCCUAUUAGUGGGGGACAACAUCUCGAAAGGGAUGCUAAUACCGCAUACGUCCUACGGGAGAAAGCAGGGGAUCACUUGUGACCUUGCGCUAAUAGAUGAGCCUAAGUCGGAUUAGCUAGUUGGUGGGGUAAAGGCCUACCAAGGCGACGAUCUGUAGCGGGUCUGAGGGGAUGAUCCGCCACACUGGGACUGAGACACGGCCCAGACUCCUACGGGAGGCAGCAGUGGGGAAUAUUGGACAAUGGGGGGAACCCUGAUCCAGCCAUGCCGCGUGUGUGAAGAAGGCCUUAUGGUUGUAAAGCACUUUAAGCGAGGAGGAGGCUCUUUUGGUUAAUACCCAAGAUGAGUGGUCGUUACUCGCAGAAUAAGCACCGGCUAACUCUGUGCCAGCCGCCGCCGUAA